Molecule: ribosomal RNA, 431 nt
Filed under: uncultured bacterium
Lineage: Bacteria
Description: partial 16S ribosomal RNA
Rfam family: Bacterial small subunit ribosomal RNA
Source: RNAcentral
GGGGGGGGGGGGGGGGGGGCUGGGCGCAGGCAGGGCGGGCGCCCCGCGGGGGGGGCGGCAGACGGGAGAGGAACACGUGGGAACAUACCGGUUGGUGCGGAACAACUGAGGGAAACUUCAGCUAAUACCGGAUAAGCCCUGACGGGGAAAGAUUUAUCGCCGAAAGAUUGGCCCGCGUCUGAUUAGCUAGUUGGUGAGGUAACGGCUCACCAAGGCGACGAUCAGUAGCUGGUCUGAGAGGAUGAUCAGCCUCACUGGGACUGAGACACGGCCCAGACUCCUACGGGAGGCAGCAGUGGGGAAUAUUGGACAAUGGGGGCAACCCUGAUCCAGCCAUGCCGCGUGAGUGAUGAAGGCCUUAGGGUUGUAAAGCUCUUUUGCCCGGGAAGAUAAUGACGGUACCGGGAGAAUAAGCCCCGGCUAACUUCGUG